GAAAAAAAAUCAAGGUGAACUGAAGAAAAUAAGUCUUUCCCCAAAGGAGGUAGAAGAUGGGGAAGAUGAGAUGUCAGAAGCUAAGGACAAUGGCAGUAGAGAUGAGGUUCUUGUCCCUCAUAAGAAUUGCAGGAAGAAUACAACUGUCCCAGGAAGGAAAGGGGAGGAAAAGUCUCUGGCUCCUGUGUUUGCUGAGAAGUUGAUAUCACCAAGCAGGAGGGGAGCCAAGCUCAAGGACUGUGAGAGCCACCAGGAGAAUGAAGACAGGAACAGUGAGUUGGACCAGGAUGAGGAAGAUAAAGAAUCCUUCUUCAGGGGGUUCCUGAUCAAAAUGCCAAAACACUUUUGAUCAAGAACCUGCCUGACAAAGUCAGUCCACAUGAAUUAAAAGAAGUGUUUGAGGAUGCUUUUCAAAUCAGAUUAGUGAGCAAAGAUGGGAUGAGUAAAAGGUGUAUUUUGCACCUUGUACUGAAUAAGAAUGUAUGUCUACUGGAUACAAACAUAAUGGAAUUUCCAUACAUUCUCUCAAGUCUUUUAUGCCUGAUUUUAGAGAAGGAAAGAGUAGUUAUCCAGAUUUCUGCCAGUAGGCAUAAAAAGCCGAAGGGGACAUCAUAAAGGGACAGCCAAAACUCCUGGAAAACUGUAGUGGUGCUAUAGAGAAAUAGAGACUUCAUCUGCUACCAAGUACAAGAUUGAAGAUUGGAAUUUAUUCAUAGAUUAUGUACAUUCCUUCUUCUCUCUCCAGGGCUGACUCCACUAGAAUAAUGUACUUAGUAACUUGCUUGGACAGUUACCAAAAUAGCACAUAGAAUUGAAUUGUUAGGUUUAUGUUGUAACCAAUUAAUGAAACACUGUCCUUAGGUAUCUAGGCUUUGGUAGAGUAAGGGAGUGAAUAUGGUGAAAUUAGAGAGGGUGGAGUAUAAUAUAUUUUGAAGGGAUUGUCAUUGAGGUGAAAAUUGAGUAUUGGGUUUACAGAUAUAUUUGAGCUAAAUGUGUUGGUGUAGGUGAACUCUAAAAUAAUCUGUAGCAGUAUGUUCUGAUGAAUGUAAUCUCUAGAAAGAAUACUACAGAUCUAACAAGCAUAAGAUAGAACUGUAUGUAUUGACCUGGAAAUCCAUGAUAAGUAUGGGAAAACAAAUCUGAAAGAAUAAAUUCCAAAUUGUUAGCAAUGUUUACUAGGAGGAGAUUUGGGAGCACUCUGCCUAUAGUCUCCAGAAAACCAGCAAACAAAUUCCUGCCAAAAGCUAUAUAAUUUCUCGAAGUUUAAUUAGGUUUUAAUUAAAUAUACUUAAAUCUUUGUAAUCAUUUCUCUACCUGAAGAAUUACUGUGUCACUUCUCAGCCUUUUGGCUAAGAUCAAGUGUAAUAUCUGUUUUUUCAGUUUAAUAUCUGAUAUGUCCUAAAUUAAAAAUAAUAAAAAAUAAAUAAAGGGGAGAUAAGAGAAACCAGAGAAUCCAUGGCCAUGUGAAAUAAAGCAUAGUACCUAUGCUAGAAAAGAGUGUGGUGCAGGCUGGGCAUGGUGGCUUAUGCCUGUAAUCCCAGCACUUUGGGAAGCCGAAGCCGGCGGAUCAUGAGGUCAGGAGAUUGAGACCACCCUGGCCAACAUGGUGAAACCCCAUCUCUACUAAAAUACAAAAAAUUAGCCGGGCGUGGUGGCGCGCUCCUGUAGUCCCAGCUACUCGGGAGGCUGAGGUAGGGGAAUUGCUUGAACCCGGGAGGCAGAGGUUGCAGUGAGCCAAGAUUGGGCCACUGCACUCCAGUCUGGUGACAGAGUGAGACUCCGUCUCAAAAACAAAACAAAACAAAAACAACAACAGAAUGUGGGGCAUUAUGUUUAAGAAUCUGACUCAGACCAGGCACGGUAGCUCAUGCCUAGAAUCCCACCACUUUGGGAGGCCGAGGCGGGGGGAUCACCUGAGCUCAGAAGUUUGAGACCAGCCUGGCCAACAUGGUAAAACUCCGUCUGUAUUAAAAAUACAGAAGAUUAGCCAGUUGUGGUGGUACAUACCUGUAAUCCCAGCUACUCAGGAGGCUGAGACAGGAGAAUCAUUUCAAGCCGGGAGGUAGAGGUUGCAGUAAGCAGAGAUCGUGCCACUUCACUCCAGCCUGGGCAACGAGCAAAACUCUGUCUCAAGAAGAAAGAAUCUGACUUGAUAUGUCCUUAUUCAUACCUUUCACCAAAUUAAAUUACAGGUUCAUUAGAGAUUUCAUGUAAAAUAUGAAACCAUAAAGUAUUAGAGGAAGACAUAGAGAAUAUUUUUGGGUUUUAUUUGUUUUAAUAAUCUUCAGGAGAGGAAGGCCUUUUUAAGUAUGACACAAUCCUGGAAGUCCCAAAAGAAAAGAUAUAUAAAUUUGGCCAGGCACAGUGACUCACACCUGUAAUUCCAGCACUUUGGGAGGCCGAGGCAGGUGUAUCACCUGAGGUUAGGAGUUCCAGACCAGCCUGGCCAACAUGGUGAAACCCUGUCUCUACUAAAAAUACAAAAAAAUUAGCUGAGCAUGAUGGUGGGCGCCUGUAAUCCCAGCUACUCGGGAGGCUGAGGCAGGAGAAUCGCUUGAACCUAGGAGGUGGAGGUUGCAGUGUGCUGAGAUCAUGCCACUGCACAACAGCUUGGGUGACAACAGCGAGGGAAACUCUGUCUCAAAAAAAAAAAAAAAGAUAUAUAAAUUUGACUGCAGAAAUAUAUUUUUACACGGAGGAAAAAAAAUCCCCAUAAGCAAAGUCAAAAGACAAGUGACAAACCAGGGAAAAAUAUUGGUAACUCAUCAAAA
Long non-coding RNA from Pongo abelii (Sumatran orangutan), 2771 nucleotides. Lineage: Eukaryota; Metazoa; Chordata; Mammalia; Primates; Hominidae. The record is from Ensembl.